UGUAUUAAAAAUGAAGUUCAUUGUGUGUAUGCAUAUACACAUAUGCAUACACGUUUGCACACAUGUAAGCCAUCAAUAUC
Molecule: microRNA precursor, 80 nt
Filed under: Cavia porcellus (domestic guinea pig)
Lineage: Eukaryota; Metazoa; Chordata; Mammalia; Rodentia; Caviidae
Description: miRNA (ENSCPOG00000039802.1)
Source: RNAcentral